AUGCAAGUCGCGGGAAUCCCAGCAAUGGGGGAACCGGCGUAAGGGGCAGUAAGGCGUGGGUACCUACCCUGGGGUCUGGGAUAGCCGUCCGAGAGGGCGGGUAAUACCGGAUGACCUCGGGAGAGCAAAGCUCUGGCGCCCUGGGAGGGGCCCACGUGAUAUUAGCUAGUUGGCGGGGUAACGGCCCACCAAGGCGGAGAUGUCUAGCGGGUGUGAGAGCACGACCCGCGCCACUCGCACUGAGACACUGGCGAGACACCUACGGGUGGCUGCAGUCGAGGAUCUUCGGCAAUGUGCGCAAGCACGACCGAGCGACGCCGCGUGGGCGACGAAGGCCUUCGGGUUGUAAAGCCCUGUCGAGGGGGAGAAAAGCCGGAAACGGUGUGAUCUAUCCCUGGAGGAAGCUCGGGCUAAGUUCGUGCCAGCAGCCGCGGUAAGACGAACCGAGCGAACGUUGUUCGGAAUCACUGGGCUUAAAGGGCGCGUAGGCGGGCUGCCAAGUUUGGGGUGAAAUCCUCCGGCUCAACCGGGGAAGUGCCUUGAAUACUGGCGGUCUGGAGGGAGGUAGGGGCGUGCGGAACUGUGGGUGGAGCGGUGAAAUGCGUUGAUAUCCACAGGAACUCCGGUGGCGAAG
RNAcentral lists this ribosomal RNA (634 nucleotides) under uncultured soil bacterium. Its description in RNAcentral is "bacterial SSU rRNA". It matches the Rfam family "Bacterial small subunit ribosomal RNA", at positions 55 to 720 of the family's 1533-position model. The record is from RNAcentral.